RNAcentral lists this long non-coding RNA (474 nucleotides) under Lepisosteus oculatus (spotted gar). RNAcentral's name for it is "lncRNA (ENSLOCG00000021045.1)". Lineage: Eukaryota; Metazoa; Chordata; Actinopteri; Semionotiformes; Lepisosteidae. The record is from RNAcentral.
CUGUGCACAUAAUACCAUUUUAUUUUCAGGACUUUCCUUGUGCAAAAUGGAAAGAGAUGACUUAAGCUGACAACGUGGGUGCCUCAUUGAGCAGAGUGAGCUCGACGAAGAAUAACAGCACAGAGGAACAGCAAUAGAAGUUAUUCGUUUCUUUUGGCAAGUUUCACUCUGUCACGCUGGGAAAUGUCUCUUACAGAGUCGAAGCAAAAGAAAUAAAGCUUGUCUGCGCAGAUGGGAAAACAUUCAAGGUUAAUUAAUGGAAAUACUUAGUGUUACAUAUCGAAGAUGUGCUAUAUAAUUGAACCCAAAGGAUUUUUUAAAUUCUCUUUUUUCUCUUUUUUUACCUUCUGAAAAUUACAUCCCAGUCAGACACAUUGAUGAUCUCUGUUCCUUUAUGUCAUAAUUUAUACACACAAAGCCUGCUUGGCAAAUAAAUUGAAUACUGAAAUUGUGUCUUUAAAUAAUGAAUGGCUG